Molecule: transfer RNA, 87 nt
Filed under: Candidatus Cloacimonadota bacterium
Lineage: Bacteria; Pseudomonadati; Candidatus Cloacimonadota
Description: tRNA-Leu
Rfam family: tRNA
About the family: Transfer RNA (tRNA) molecules are approximately 80 nucleotides in length. Their secondary structure includes four short double-helical elements and three loops (D, anti-codon, and T loops).
Source: RNAcentral
GCCGGAGUGGUGGAAUUGGUAGACACAAGGGACUUAAAAUCCCUCGGGCUUAGGUCCGUGCCGGUUCAAGUCCGGCCUCUGGUACCA